UACAGAGGGUGCAAGCGUUAAUCGGAAUUACUGGGCGUAAAGCGUGCGUAGGCGGUUAUUUAAGUCGGGUGUGAAAGCCCCGGGCUCAACCUGGGAAUUGCAUUCGAGGCUGAAUAGCUAGGGUGCGGAAGAGGGAAGCGGAAUUUCCGGUGUAGCGGUGAAAUGCGUAGAUAUCGGAAGGAACACCCGUAGCGAAGGCGGCACUCUGGGCCGGUACUGACGCUGAGGAGCGAAAGCGUGGGGAGCAAACAGG
RNAcentral lists this ribosomal RNA (253 nucleotides) under uncultured bacterium. RNAcentral describes it as "partial 16S ribosomal RNA". It matches the Rfam family "Bacterial small subunit ribosomal RNA", at positions 524 to 776 of the family's 1533-position model. The record is from RNAcentral.